GAGAAUUAACUCCGAAAACCCACGGCCAGCUACCUGCGUGUGACCCUUUCCACACUCUCCUAAAAACAGCACCCCUUUCCUCCAGCGAGGCAGGAGGAGCCCGCCAUGAACCAGCAGGGUUUCUAGGCUAGGAGGAGUGUCGCUAGUUCCAAUUCUGGGGUCUCUCCACCGCCGCCACUCCAUACGCCAACACAGACACAAAACCCGGACCAAAAAACUCUGCGGAACCCACGUUUGCUUUACCUUGGCAGACAAUGGCCAGGGCCGCUGCUGCUACUAGUCGUGCUGUCGUCUGUGGAUCCGCCACCAUCGCUUUCAGGUGACGAUGGCCUCACCAGCGGCUCCAGAACCCGCCAGGACUGCUCCCAUUACGCGUCGUUUCGGCGGUGCUCGCUCCCUCCUUCCCCCGCCGGGCGUGUGGCCCCCUGAGGUGCGGCUCCCUCCGCUUAGCGGCAGGAACCAGGCCGGUGGGGAAACAAGUAAGAGCAGCAGCAGCGCUCAAGGCCUGGCCGAUGGGGGUGGGAGAGAGGGAAAGCUUCCUUUCGCUCACCGGGCUCUCACCGAUGGUAGGAGGAAAGGGCGAGUUUAAGUCCAGGGAAGGGAAAAAAACCACCAAAGCCGCCGCUUCCUCUCUCUCCUCCGCCUCUGCACGCCUCAGUGACUCACCCCAGCGCGGCAGUCACUAGUCAAUCUCACAGGGUUGUCUUCACUCUCUUAAACGAAAUAUCGGUGGAGAAGCCUAACCCAGCAGCUUCGGCGACCGUGCCAGAGAGAAUGAGCUAGACAGGCACCUCCUCUGGUGCCCAGAGACGUCUUUGCAGGAUACCUACGGAAGAGCUGGAAGAGGGCUCGGGCACGUAACUUUGGGGAGGGGGCGGUGUCGCUCGCACGCACCCCAGCUAGGGGGGAGGAGGAAGCCAAGGUGGUGACUUGUUGCUCUCGCGCCGCUGAGCCAUGCGCUCCCGCGAGGCUCCGCUUGCGCUCAAGCGCCUCUCCAAGUCUCCUUUCGCGGCAGCUCCUUUCUCGCGCUUGCAUCAAAGACCCAAGCCAGCCCACCGCUGCGCCUCCGCUACCACUAUACCGUAGUAGACUGACGGAGUUCGGACGAUAAACGGAGAGGAGGAGACACAGAGAGAACGGCAGGCACCGAGCCCCGCCUUCUGGGUGGUCUCCCAGCAGAUAAUAAGGAAGGCCUCGGUGCAUUCGGGAGGCGGAAAGAGAAAGUUGACAGCAAAAAAGCUAACCGACCCAAAGCUGCAUUUGAAAUGAAGGGAACCAACCAUCUCAGCAUUACAACAAGUCCUCCUGUUGCUUCUCAAACAGAUAUAUAUAGGCACGAUUACAGUUCGAUUCCGUGUGAAUGGAAAAUUUAAAAGGUGUACACAUUCUUUUUCCACACAAGAGAGAGAGAACUCCAUUGAGGACUGGCUUCCAGCAACAUCCUCCAAGAAGACAAUAUGAUGGCACUAUGCCUUGAAGCACCCCCUGAAAUGGUUUAGGGUAGUUCACCUCCUCCUGAAAAAAUAGCCAAGAUAGUCACAUCAUUUUUCUGUCCCUGGUAGAGUAGCAAAAGGAGAGUGUCUGUUCAGCUUAGCUCUAAUAUAGCAUUGUACGCGGUUUAAAUGCAUUGUUUUGCUGAAUUUGUCUCUUGACCAAAAAUGCUACAGAUUCAAUUCACUUUUUUGACCUACUGCAAAAGAAAAGACAUAGCCACAGAGAAUGGAACAAGCUGCAUUCUUGGACAAAAAGGUGUAAUCUUAUGUAAAU
Molecule: long non-coding RNA, 1767 nt
Organism: Rhineura floridana
Lineage: Eukaryota; Metazoa; Chordata; Lepidosauria; Squamata; Rhineuridae
Exons: 3
Source: RefSeq, a predicted model, not a curated record